AACCAGAAAACACUUAACCAAAAUCUAAAGCCUCCUCCGAAUUCUCUCAUGUCUCCCUCUCUCUCUCAUCUCCUCCACCCACUGCCCCCUCCCCCACCCGAUCAUCAAUCAGACAUUCAGACUUCAGUUCCUUUCUUCCUCAAUCAUAAAUCCACUUUCGAUUUCGAUCCGAUUCUUCUGGGGCGAAGUGUCGAACUCCCUAUCUUGAAUCUGCCUCUUCUAGAAGCACCAUGUGCUCAAGGCCAAGGAUGAGAAGGCCCUCCUCGUCUGUGCGAAGCCAGUCGCCGUCUUUGGGCUCAGAAACCUGGAGGUGAUCCCAUGGUGUCGGCUGGUGUUGAUAUUGUCCACUGGAGUGUUGAUAUUGUCCACUACAAUUUUCUUUAAUUUGAUUGCAGUAUGACUCAGUGUAUGCAUGAAUUGAAUGGCUGAGCUUUUUUAGCUUGAUAUAGCUAAUACAAGGUUUAAUUCUAUCUUCAGUAUGGCUGAGCUUUGAUUGCAUCAGUAUGACUUGGUUUUCGAUAUGUCCUUGUGAUUUCAUUUCGGUGACGGCGCUGGGUUUGGGCGACAGGGUUUAUGCUAAGAUUUCUAGGGUGGAGAUGGAGGAGCGUCCGCAGAGAUUGGAUGGAAUAGGACAAUCCCAAUCUGGAGGUCUCAUUUUGGAACCUAUUGAUGUUCUACUGCAAAGACGGGAGCAAAAGGCAUUUACAAGGGUAUGGUAAAUUACUGUCCUUCGUGUCAAAGCUCAAAGUGGCUUACAUUUAUCAAUAUCAUGCAGCCACUUCAAUGCAUGUCAAAGCUCAAAGGCACAUAUUUAAUAUAUAUGAUCUUGACAUAUAUAAUGACACGUAUUUAAUAUAUAUAAUCUAGACAUAUAUAAUAUCAUCAGUAUAGUCUGAUCGUAGGAGGACCUACUAGUUGAUCAUGUUGGUUUUCCUUAUAUGUUUGCCCACUUUGCUUUUCCUAUGUUCAUUUCCAUUGGGUAAAUUCAGCAUAUGGUUACCGCAUUUUUGAUUGCCAACGUGAAGAUUAUAUUUUCCUUAAGAAUGCUUUCAAUCGAUCAAGAUUAUAGCAUCUUUGUUGUUCAUAUCUUAUCCAGCCACAUUUCACAUUUGCUGUAAGUACACUUCCAGAUAAGAUCAUAAUGUUUAUACUCCAUCUUCUGGUUAACAUUUAUCUAUAUAUUUUCCAGGUUCGUUUUGCAACAAUUAUUUCCUGCGGAGGCUAGCAAUGAUUGGAAGGGGCCAAUAUGAUGCUGCCUAUGAUAUAGGUCAGUUAACUAUAUUUUUUCAGAAACAUAUAUUUACCCUGAAGACUGCAUUUUGUACUUCAGGUGAUACAAAAUUUUGGAUUGAGAUCUUGUGGGUCAGUCUCAGAAACUAAAUAGGCAAUAUCUUGUUGUAUUUCUGGUUAUGUUCAAAGUUUAGUAAUGUGUGUUGGAGUUGGUUUGUUUCUUUAGAAAGUGAAACUCAUGUGUGGAUUCAAAUGACUCUUGCUUGACAGGGAACUUGAUGUAUGCUCAUUCUUGGACAAGGAUUAUGUUGUAAUCUUAGUGAUAUUCCACCUUGAACAACAAUGUAUACUAGGAAUGUAAAGAACAUCUUACUAUGAAUGUAAAGUUUAUUCAUGUUCGAUUGAGUUGUGGAUUUGUUCAUUUGAUUGUAAAUAUUUGAAGUGAAUUUAUUGUACAGAAAUCAAAACUAUUAUUAUGUUUGGGUUGCAAAUUAA
Molecule: long non-coding RNA, 1725 nt
Organism: Rosa rugosa (rugosa rose)
Lineage: Eukaryota; Viridiplantae; Streptophyta; Magnoliopsida; Rosales; Rosaceae
Exons: 3
Source: RefSeq, a predicted model, not a curated record